Molecule: ribosomal RNA, 1314 nt
Filed under: Athetis thoracica
Lineage: Eukaryota; Metazoa; Arthropoda; Insecta; Lepidoptera; Noctuidae
Description: 16S ribosomal RNA
Source: RNAcentral
AAUAAAAAAAUUUUUAAUAAAAUAUUUUAAGGGGGAGUUAAAGUAUAUUUAUAGAAAAAAUUAAUUAAUUUAUAGUUAAAUAGUAUUGUAAAAGAAUUUUGAAAUAAUUGAAAAAAAAAUUAUGUAAAAGUAAUUUUUAGUUAAUGUAUCUUGGGUAUCAGAGUUUAUUAAUAAAUAUUUUUGAAUAAAAAAUUCUCGAAUUUAAAAGAGAUAAUUAAUUAAUAAAGUUAUUGUUGCAUAAAUAUUUUAAAUAAUUAAUUUGAAAUGAGAUGUUAAUCGUUUUUAAAUAUAUCUAGUUUUUUUAGAAAAAAAUUUAAUUUUAUAUUAUUUUAUGAAAGAAUUAAUUAAUUAAUUCUUUCAUAAAAUAAUAAUAUAUUUUAAGGGAUAAGCUUUAAUUUAAAUUUAUAUAAAUAAAGUUAAAUAUUAAAUUGAAAUUUUUAUAAUUUAUAUUGUUAAAAAAAUUUAGUUUAUUAUAAAUAAUUUCAUUUAAAAUAAAAUUUAAUAAAAUUUUAUAUAUUUAUAAAGAAAAAUUUUUUAAUAAAAUAAAAUUUGAUAUAAUGAUAAAAUUAGUAUAUAAAAUAAUUAUAUAUAUAUAUAUAUAUAAAUAAUUAAUUAAAAGGAAUUCGGCAAAAAUUUAUAUUCACUUGUUUAUCAAAAACAUGUCUUUUUGAAAAUAAUAUAAAGUCUAAUCUGCCCACUGAUUAAAUAUUAAAGGGCUGCAGUAUAUUGACUGUACAAAGGUAGCAUAAUCAUUAGUCAUUUAAUUGAUGACUUGUAUGAAAGAUUGGAUGAAAUAUAAACUGUCUCUUAAUUAAGUAUAGAAUUUAAUUUUUUAAUUAAAAAGUUAAAAUAAUUUAAAAAGACGAGAAGACCCUAUAGAGUUUUAUAGUUUUAUUAAUUAAGAUUAUAUAUAAUUUGAAAAAUUAAAAUUAAUAAAAUUAUUUUGUUGGGGUGACAAAAAAAUAUGAAAAACUUUUUUUAUAAGAUUACAUAUAUAAGUGAUUAAAUGAUCCAUUAAUAAUGAUUAUAAGAAAAAAUUACCUUAGGGAUAACAGCGUAAUUUUUUUUUUUAGUUCUUAUAAAAAGAAAAGUUUGCGACCUCGAUGUUGGAUUAAGAUAAAAUUUAAAUGCAGUAGUUUAAAAUUUUUGAUCUGUUCGAUCAUUAAAAUCUUACAUGAUCUGAGUUCAAACCGGUGUAAGCCAGGUUGGUUUCUAUCUUUUGAUAAAUAAAAUAUUUUAGUACGAAAGGAUUAAAUAUUUAAAUUAAAUUUUUAUUAAUGAAUUUUAUUAAAAUAUUUAAAAAUUUAUAUUAUU